GAUGAAGAACGUAGCGAAAUGCGAUAAGUAAUGUGAAUUGCAGAGUUCAGUGAAUCAUCGAAUCUUUGAACGCACAUUGCGCCCGUCAGUAUUCUGACGGGCAUGCCUGUCCGAGCGUCAUUUCAACCCUCAAGCACUGCUUGGCGUUGGCGGAUUGCGUGCCCUCGCGGCGCUGCAACCGCCCAAAUACAGUGGCGGUCCCGCUGCGGCUCCCUUUGCGUAGUAACUCACCUCGCACUGGACCGGGCGGCGGCCUGCCGUAAAACCCCAACUCACGAAAUGUUGACCUCGGAUCAGGUAGGAAUAGCCGCUGAACUUAAGCAUAUCAAUAAGCGGAGGA
RNAcentral lists this unclassified non-coding RNA (340 nucleotides) under soil metagenome. RNAcentral describes it as "partial contains 5.8S ribosomal RNA, internal transcribed spacer 2, and large subunit ribosomal RNA". The stretch from base 1 to 120 matches the Rfam family "5.8S ribosomal RNA", at positions 35 to 154 of the family's 154-position model. The record is from RNAcentral.